AGGAUGAACGCUAGCGGCAGGCUUAAUACAUGCAAGUCGAGGGGCAGCAGUCCCGCAGCAAUGCGGGAGCUGGCGACCGGCAAACGGGUGCGGAACACGUACACAACUUUCCUUUAAGUGGGGGAUAGCCCAGAGAAAUUUGGAUUAAUACCCCGUAAAAUUAUGAAAUGGCAUCAUUUUAUAAUUAAAGCUCCGGCGCUUGAAGAUGGGUGUGCGGCUGAUUAGGUAGUUGGCGGGGUAACGGCCCACCAAGCCUACGAUCAGUAACUGGUGUGAGAGCACGACCAGUCACACGGGCACUGAGACACGGGCCCGACUCCGUACGGGAGGCAGCCAGUAAGGAAUAUUGGUCAAUGGACGCAAAGUCUAGAACCAGCCAGUCGCCGCGUGAAGGGUGAAGGUCCUCUGGAUUAGUAAACUUCUUUUAGUAAGGGAAGAAAAUCGAAAAUUUCUUUUUACGGUUAGUACGGUACCUAAGGAAGUAAGCACCGGACUAACUCCGUGCCAG
This 508-nucleotide ribosomal RNA is filed under the name uncultured soil bacterium. Its description in RNAcentral is "bacterial SSU rRNA". It matches the Rfam family "Bacterial small subunit ribosomal RNA", at positions 26 to 511 of the family's 1533-position model. The record is from RNAcentral.